RNAcentral lists this unclassified non-coding RNA (252 nucleotides) under Hevea brasiliensis (rubber tree). The record is from RNAcentral. Lineage: Eukaryota; Viridiplantae; Streptophyta; Magnoliopsida; Malpighiales; Euphorbiaceae.
CUUCUAAGCAAAAUUUUGCUCCCGGUUUCUGGGAAAUGAAGCUAAUAAGUAUUCAUUAUAGCAAAAUGAAUAUAUAAAUUAUCAUUUCAGAUAUUAAAGUUGAUAGGCAUUUAUUGAUGGGAGCUUGACACUUAAUAAAGCUAAGAACUUUUAACUGAUAUCAGUACAUACUGUAUGAGUGAAGAACUAAGAUUUGUAAUCUUAAUCUGAAAGAUUUAGUUUUGUUUCAACGGAAUAUAAGAUGGAUUUUGG